Molecule: long non-coding RNA, 435 nt
Organism: Juglans microcarpa x Juglans regia
Lineage: Eukaryota; Viridiplantae; Streptophyta; Magnoliopsida; Fagales; Juglandaceae
Exons: 4
Source: RefSeq, a predicted model, not a curated record
AUUGCGCAACCUCUUGGAAUCUCAAUUUAACAUUGCCAUAGAUGCCAUCGGGCAAUGAGGAGGUGUGUGACCAUAUUGAUGUAAUGUAAUUCCAUGGAGAUAGUUGCCUAAUUCAGACAAUCAUUGUGUGACUAGACAGAGGCUUGAGAAGAUUUUUUAGCAGCAUCGUGUGACUGGACUUGAAAAUUAUUUUUUGGGAGCUUAUGUACAUGCCACUUUCCAAACAUGUUGUGCAAAAUUUUUUGUGGACAUAAAUAUUGGCAGCUUGUGUGGAUAAACAUGGCUAGAUUUUGUGGAUUGUGUCCAGAUGUACGUGUGUGAUGGUUUUGUGUCUAGUUGUGUAUGAAUUUUGUGUAUUUUGAGGGUUGGAGACAAAAAUACAUUAGAGAUUUAUAGACUAUAGAUUUUGAUUCAAAAUAAGGAAUUGGGAGUAGG